AACGCGAAGAACCUUACCCAGGCUUGACAUGCAGUGGAAGUUAGUAGAGAUAUUAACGCCCUUCGGGGCCGCUGCACAGGUGCUGCAUGGCUGUCGUCAGCUCGUGCCGUGAGGUGUUGGGUUAAGUCCCGCAACGAGCGCAACCCUUAUCGUUAGUUGCCAACAGGUAAUGCUGGGAACUCUAGCGAGACUGCCUGGGUUAACCAGGAGGAAGGUGAGGAUGACGUCAAGUCCGCAUGGCCCUUAUGUCUGGGGCUACACACGUGCUACAAUGGUCGGUACAGAAGGCAGCGAAACCGUGAGGUGAAGCAAAUCCCAAAAAACCGGCCCCAGUUCAGAUUGUAGUCUGCAACUCGACUACAUGAAGAUGGAAUUGCUAGUAAUGGCAGGUCAGCAACACUGCCGUGAAUACGUUCCCGGGCCUUGUACACACCGCUCGUC
Molecule: ribosomal RNA, 441 nt
Filed under: uncultured bacterium
Lineage: Bacteria
Description: bacterial SSU rRNA
Rfam family: Bacterial small subunit ribosomal RNA
Source: RNAcentral